RNAcentral lists this ribosomal RNA (253 nucleotides) under uncultured bacterium. RNAcentral describes it as "partial 16S ribosomal RNA". It matches the Rfam family "Bacterial small subunit ribosomal RNA", at positions 524 to 776 of the family's 1533-position model. The record is from RNAcentral.
GACGAACCGAGCGAACGUUGUUCGGAAUCACUGGGCGUAAAGGGUGCGUAGGCGGCCUGCUAAGUCGAACGUGAAAUCCCCGGGCUCAACCCGGGAACUGCGUCCGAUACUGGCAGGCUUGAAUCCGGGAGAGGGAUGCGGAAUUCCAGGUGUAGCGGUGAAAUGCGUAGAUAUCUGGAGGAGCACCGGUGGCGAAGGCGGCAUCCUGGACCGGCAUUGACGCUGAGGCGCGAAAGCCAGGGGAGCAAACGGG